GUCUCGAUGGAGGAGCAAGAAACGGAAGAGGUCGGGGGGAGAAGCAGCCGGAAAAAUGCAGCCACCGUCAACGCCGCCUCCCUGCCACCGUGCUUCGGGGUAAAAAGCUGCCGUUGCCGUCGGUGCAGUUGCCGUCGCUGCCUCCUAUACUUCUCUUGGCCUCGGGGAAGGAUUUCCCCACCGGUGGGACAAUGUGCGGGGAGGGGAGUGGGAAUUCCUUUAUAUGGCGGUGAUUAAACGAGGGAGGGACAGACAGUGAUCUCGAAGAAAAAAGGGGGAGACCAAAGAAUAAAAGAAGGGUUUCCCCACUAAAAUGACACGGCGAUUCCGGCUCUUGUUUUGGGGGUCUUUCCCCGAAAUGGUUUCCGUCUUCCCCUUGCCCCGCAGCGACCCAGAGCGCUGGGGGAAGCGGAGUGGGGAGAGGCAGAGGCGGUCUCGGCAGCCAAUCAGCGCCUGAUGUGUCCUGUCGGGCGCGUCGUGGUUGGCUGGCGAUGACCUCAUCCUGCAGCAGCGGGUGGGGCCAAAGCCGUAGGGGGAGGCUGUUGCAAAGGUAGAGAGGGAGAAGUGACGAUGGUGAUCGUUGCUGCCGCGGCCGAUAUGGAACCCAAGCAGUGGCGAAGGGAAUCGCAAGGCUCUUCCCUGACCAUUUUCUACUGUCCCUGCGCGAGGUGAGGGCCCCGGCUCGGCCUCUGCAAAACUUUGGGGCGCUGGCGCGGAGGAGGAGACAGGAUUUCUCCCGUGACUUUUGUAACUGCGUCAGGGCAAGAUGGCGCUGGGUCUCUUUGGGGCGCGGGGGGAGAGGCACGUCCACCGCCGCAGCGCAUGUGACCGGGCUGCAUUCCUGUGGGGUUUGGCUCCGACCCAGGCCGGGGCGGGGGAGGGGACAGGGCUUGGGCGGAGGAGACUGUGGUGCGGUCGGCGUUGGCGGCCUGAAGAGGAAGAGAUGACUGUUGGAAAGCGUUCCCCUCCCCCAUACGGCAGAACAGCUGCGGCUCCCAGGGGAAAGCCCCCGCAGGACAGUCCUCGUGGGGUGUGACGGCUGUUGGUGGAGAAGAUUCUUCAUUUGAAAAAUGGGAAAAAGAAGUAAUAUCACGUACCUUGACCAUGGUAUCAGAGAAUGACCUCAGAAGUUGUGAGGGAAUUCUCAGACAAAACUUUGAAAUAUAAUCCAGGAUUCAAUCAGGUAUUAUUUUAAUCUUUAAGUAGUCUUGAUGGGUUGCAAACUUUCAUGAAUAGAGGAGAGCUGCUAAGUACUUGGGUUAAGAGGGCUUGAGACCAACUCCGGUAUAAAUUGUGACAUUCUGUCUAUAUA
RNAcentral lists this long non-coding RNA (1312 nucleotides) under Homo sapiens (human). RNAcentral's name for it is "non-protein coding lnc-SRPK2-1:20". The record is from RNAcentral. Lineage: Eukaryota; Metazoa; Chordata; Mammalia; Primates; Hominidae.